Molecule: long non-coding RNA, 137 nt
Organism: Bufo bufo (common toad)
Lineage: Eukaryota; Metazoa; Chordata; Amphibia; Anura; Bufonidae
Exons: 3
Source: RefSeq, a predicted model, not a curated record
UUCCAUUUGGUCAUCUCGGACAGAAUAACGCUUCAAACAGCGUUUUUCGGUCCGCAAUGUGGUGCGGAGUAAGACAGAUCCAUCAUGACUCACAAUGUAAGUCAAUGGGGACGGAUCCGUUUUCUCUGACACAAUAG